Molecule: ribosomal RNA, 723 nt
Filed under: Vibrio sp.
Lineage: Bacteria; Pseudomonadati; Pseudomonadota; Gammaproteobacteria; Vibrionales; Vibrionaceae
Description: bacterial SSU rRNA
Rfam family: Bacterial small subunit ribosomal RNA
Source: RNAcentral
GGAGGCAGCAGUGGGGAAUAUUGCACAAUGGGCGCAAGCCUGAUGCAGCCAUGCCGCGUGUGUGAAGAAGGCCUUCGGGUUGUAAAGCACUUUCAGUCGUGAGGAAGGUAGUGUAGUUAAUAGCUGCAUUAUUUGACGUUAGCGACAGAAGAAGCACCGGCUAACUCCGUGCCAGCAGCCGCGGUAAUACGGAGGGUGCGAGCGUUAAUCGGAAUUACUGGGCGUAAAGCGCAUGCAGGUGGUUUGUUAAGUCAGAUGUGAAAGCCCGGGGCUCAACCUCGGAAUAGCAUUUGAAACUGGCAGACUAGAGUACUGUAGAGGGGGGUAGAAUUUCAGGUGUAGCGGUGAAAUGCGUAGAGAUCUGAAGGAAUACCGGUGGCGAAGGCGGCCCCCUGGACAGAUACUGACACUCAGAUGCGAAAGCGUGGGGAGCAAACAGGAUUAGAUACCCUGGUAGUCCACGCCGUAAACGAUGUCUACUUGGAGGUUGUGGCCUUGAGCCGUGGCUUUCGGAGCUAACGCGUUAAGUAGACCGCCUGGGGAGUACGGUCGCAAGAUUAAAACUCAAAUGAAUUGACGGGGGCCCGCACAAGCGGUGGAGCAUGUGGUUUAAUUCGAUGCAACGCGAAGAACCUUACCUACUCUUGACAUCCAGAGAACUUUCCAGAGAUGGAUUGGUGCCUUCGGGAACUCUGAGACAGGUGCUGCAUGGCUGUCGAAAGG